RNAcentral lists this ribosomal RNA (289 nucleotides) under uncultured bacterium. Its description in RNAcentral is "partial 16S ribosomal RNA". It matches the Rfam family "Bacterial small subunit ribosomal RNA", at positions 29 to 334 of the family's 1533-position model. The record is from RNAcentral.
AACGAACGCUGGCGGCAGGCUUAACACAUGCAAGUCGAACGAUAACCUGGAGCUUGCUCUAGGGGACAGUGGCAGACGGGUGAGUAACGCGUAGCAACCUACCUAUUUCUACGGAAUAACGUCGAGAAAUUGACGCUAAUACCGUAUACGCCCUUCGGGGAAAGAUUUAUCGGUGAUAGAUGGGGCUGCGUUAGAUUAGCUAGUUGGUAAGGUAAUGGCUUACCAAGGCGACGAUCUAUAGCGGGUCUGAGAGGAUGAUCCGCCACACUGGGACUGAGACACGGCCCAG